Molecule: transfer RNA, 44 nt
Filed under: Rhodosorus marinus
Lineage: Eukaryota; Rhodophyta; Stylonematophyceae; Stylonematales; Stylonemataceae
Description: partial tRNA
Source: RNAcentral
CGGGUAUAGCUCAGUGGUAGAGCGCAACCUUGCCAAACAAAAAA